RNAcentral lists this ribosomal RNA (473 nucleotides) under Escherichia coli. RNAcentral's name for it is "bacterial SSU rRNA". It matches the Rfam family "Bacterial small subunit ribosomal RNA", at positions 129 to 597 of the family's 1533-position model. Lineage: Bacteria; Pseudomonadati; Pseudomonadota; Gammaproteobacteria; Enterobacterales; Enterobacteriaceae. The record is from RNAcentral.
CCUGAUGGAGGGGGAUAACUACUGGAAACGGUAGCUAAUACCGCAUAACGUCGCAAGACCAAAGAGGGGGACCUUCGGGCCUCUUGCCAUCGGAUGUGCCCAGAUGGGAUUAGCUAGUAGGUGGGGUAAAGGCUCACCUAGGCGACGAUCCCUAGCUGGUCUGAGAGGAUGACCAGCCACACUGGAACUGAGACACGGUCCAGACUCCUACGGGAGGCAGCAGUGGGGAAUAUUGCACAAUGGGCGCAAGCCUGAUGCAGCCAUGCCGCGUGUAUGAAGAAGGCCUUCGGGUUGUAAAGUACUUUCAGCGGGGAGGAAGGGAGUAAAGUUAAUACCUUUGCUCAUUGACGUUACCCGCAGAAGAAGCACCGGCUAACUCCGUGCCAGCAGCCGCGGUAAUACGGAGGGUGCAAGCGUUAAUCGGAAUUACUGGGCGUAAAGCGCACGCAGGCGGUUUGUUAAGUCAGAUGUGA